UAAAACAUAGCUAAAUAGAUAGCGUUUCACUUACACUGAAAAGAAUUAUCGUGCAAAUCGAUUUGUUUUAA
Molecule: transfer RNA, 71 nt
Filed under: Tetraloides heterodactylus
Lineage: Eukaryota; Metazoa; Arthropoda; Malacostraca; Decapoda; Tetraliidae
Description: tRNA-Val
Rfam family: tRNA
About the family: Transfer RNA (tRNA) molecules are approximately 80 nucleotides in length. Their secondary structure includes four short double-helical elements and three loops (D, anti-codon, and T loops).
Source: RNAcentral